Long non-coding RNA from Populus nigra (black poplar), 519 nucleotides. RefSeq lists it as uncharacterized. The record is from RefSeq and is a predicted model, not a curated record. Lineage: Eukaryota; Viridiplantae; Streptophyta; Magnoliopsida; Malpighiales; Salicaceae. The transcript has 2 exons.
CUCUCAAUCGACAUCACAUCGUUCUCUUAGAAUCAAAAACAUGAUGAAUAUGUGCAAGAAAUCACUCUUUCUUGGGGCAAAAGCCACCAUCCUUUUGUUCCUGAUCCUUGCUGCGAGUGCUCCUCUUGUAGUUCCAACUAGGACUUCUAGUUUCAUAAUGACCAUGAUGACAGAAAUUGAAGCAAGCAGCACGGAUGUUACCCAAAUUAGUAACCUUCCAAUUCAACCAUCUAGUCCUAGUCCUUAUCCUUGCAGUUACCAGCCUGGAGAUGGGCAAUGCAAACCUCCUAAGUGAUUCAUGCUACAUACUGUCCAUCAAGCAUCUAGCUAGCUGUAUAAAUACAUGGAUCAUAUUGAUGAUGGAGGUGGAGAGAACACAAGUGGAGACUAGGGAAUGUGUCAAGGAGACUAGAUAGAAUAAGUCCUUUUGUAUGCAUAUUAUAUAUCCUGUUAUUUUGCUACGUUUCAGCUGUCAGAAAUGGUUGAAAUUGAACAUCCUGUUGAGUGUUACCAUAUUAA